RNAcentral lists this ribosomal RNA (250 nucleotides) under uncultured bacterium. Its description in RNAcentral is "partial 16S ribosomal RNA". It matches the Rfam family "Bacterial small subunit ribosomal RNA", at positions 59 to 339 of the family's 1533-position model. The record is from RNAcentral.
AAGUCGAGCGCCCCGCAAGGGGAGCGGCAGACGGGUGAGUAACGCGUGGGAAUCUACCCUUUUCUACGGAAUAACGCAGGGAAACUUGUGCUAAUACCGUAUGUGUCCUUCGGGAGAAAGAUUUAUCGGGAAAGGAUGAGCCCGCGUUGGAUUAGCUAGUUGGUGGGGUAAAGGCCUACCAAGGCGACGAUCCAUAGCUGGUCUGAGAGGAUGAUCAGCCACAUUGGGACUGAGACACGGCCCAAACUCC